GGAGGUCAAUGAUGAUUUGCAUUUUUGCCUACAUUGGCUGAGUAACUCAACUAUGAUAAAAAAGAAUCUGCGAUCCAGCUGAGGCCUCC
Small nucleolar RNA from Macadamia integrifolia, 89 nucleotides. RefSeq annotates it as small nucleolar RNA SNORD34. NCBI's taxonomy places the organism in Eukaryota, Viridiplantae, Streptophyta, Magnoliopsida, Proteales, Proteaceae. The transcript has a single exon. The record is from RefSeq and is a predicted model, not a curated record.